UUACGUUGUACAUUGUGUAUAUUAUUAUACUCAAGCAAUGAAAAUAAUCACGAAAUUAUCUUCUUCCAUGGUAUCAUAUAACAGGGUUUCUUUCUUCUCUCAAUAUUCUUCUCUUCCGCUGCCCUACUACGUCUCUGUUCUUCAACCUUUUUCCGUCAUUUCUCUUUCGUUCUCCAUCGAGUUAUUCAUGGCUGACACAAAGUUUCACCCUGCUUUGGUUGUCUCCAACAUCAAGAAUCACAUUCCUAUCAUUCUUGAGAUGGAAACUAAUCAUUGUUCGGCUUGGGAUGAAUGGUUCAAGUUGCACACCCGCUCCCAUGAUCACCGUGUUCUUGCUCACAUUCUACCUACAGGGAAGGAGACACCACCUUCGACGGAUGACGAAAAAGAAUUAUGGUCCACUUCGGAUGCCACCGUGCUUCAAUGGAUUUAUGCAACUAUAACCACUGACUUGUUGCAUACGAUCAUCAAUGAGGACAUCUCGGCGAAGUAGGCCUGAGAUCGGUUGCGUAAUAUUUUCCAGGACAACAAGAAUUCCUGAGAGGUGGCUCUUGAACAUGAUUUCUCUCAUGUGAAGAUGAGAGAUUUUUCGACCGCCUCUACCUAUUGUCAACGUUUGAAGACCUUGGCUGACCAACUUAAGAGUGUCGGUGCUCCGGUAACUGACAACCACCUGGUGCUUCAAUUGGUGGCUGGCCUCACAGAGGCAUACAAGUUUGUCGUCAAAUCCGGCAAAGCAAACCCCUACCUCCCUUUUUCGAGGCUUGUUCGAGUCUGUGUUUAGAAGAGAAAGCAUGGGCUGAAAUGUAGAGGACUCGCCGGCAGCCAUGGUGGUCGCAUCUCACAGGGAUUCCAAGGACUCUGCCUCCAACGGUGAAUAUUCAGGCCACAAAAACAACAAUCGGGGCGGUGGCAAAAAUAAAAACCACUGCCACGGUAAUAAGAAUGUGGGUGGUCGUGGCUCUGGUAAUGGCGGCAACAAUAACCGCCAUGGAGGUGAACGGGGUCUGCCGACACUCAGCCACAAGUGCCGGCGCAGCAGCAGUGGGGUGGUCAUGGUGGUCAUCCGCCGCAACAAUGGGGAUGGUAGUGGGUUCCUCCCCCUUGCCCAUAUCCCACUUAUCCGUGGACUCGCCCAACAAGUGGGCCUCAAAGAACAACCCACGUCCACCCCAGGCUUAUACAGCAGUAGCCCCACAGGGCCAAUACAUGCCCACUGGUCUGUACAUGCCCAUAGAUAUUGAAUCACCAUUGCAUGCACACAAUGAUCUUGACCCCACCGGACCCUAAUUGGUACAUGGACACCGACGUGACGUCUCACAUGACCUCUACAAACGGACUCUCACACGUGAUGUUUAAUGGGUCAGAUCUUAACACUUCCCGUGAGGUCCCUUUUCAAAAUGGCUCACAUGUGAUGUUUCACGGGUCAUAGUUUCUUUAUCACUCUCUAGCUCCCUCACAUGGAUCCCGUUCAGUUGGCCCAGAAAACAGUACACAAUAAGGUCCCAGCUGUUGGCUCUGAUACCAUGAUAAAUACGAGUCUGUGCCGCACUCGUCACCAAGAGAGAGAGUCCACUUAACAAGAUCGUAGGAGGUUCCACCUUAAAAUCAUAUGGCAAUAAGGGGAGUAGCCCCUUGGGCUUAUUAAGUGAUUAAGUCUCUUCUCUUUUGUCAAUGUGAGACUCUCACACGUGAUGUUUCAUGGGUCAGAUAUUAACAAGUUGAUUUUGGCACCUCCUUUGCGAGAGAAUAAAAAGUUACGCUCUACUCACAUGAGGUGUGCCAAAAUCACUUUCCCUUUGGUUAUGUCUUUCGUACAUUCUUUUA
Spinacia oleracea (spinach) is the source of this 1827-nucleotide long non-coding RNA. RefSeq lists it as uncharacterized. The record is from RefSeq and is a predicted model, not a curated record. Lineage: Eukaryota; Viridiplantae; Streptophyta; Magnoliopsida; Caryophyllales; Amaranthaceae. The transcript has 2 exons.